Molecule: transfer RNA, 85 nt
Filed under: Photobacterium iliopiscarium
Lineage: Bacteria; Pseudomonadati; Pseudomonadota; Gammaproteobacteria; Vibrionales; Vibrionaceae
Also listed under: 3 other names
Description: tRNA-Leu
Rfam family: tRNA
About the family: Transfer RNA (tRNA) molecules are approximately 80 nucleotides in length.
Source: RNAcentral
GCCCGAGUGGUGAAAUUGGUAUACACGACGGAUUCAAAAUCCGUUUCCUUCGGGAGUAGCGGUUCAAGUCCGCUCUCGGGCACCA